UGCUCCUAGUACGAGAGGACCGGAGUGGACGCAUCACUGGUGUUCGGGUUGUCAUGCCAAUGGCACUGCCCGGUAGCUAAAUGCGGAAGAGAUAAGUGCUGAAAGCAUCUAAGCACGAAACUUGCCCCGAGAUGAGUUCUCCCUGAGACUUAGAGUCUCCUGAAGGAACGUUGAAGACGACGACGUUGAUAGGCCGGGUGUGUAAGCGCAGCGAUGCGUUGAGCUAACCGGUACUAAUGAACCGUGAGGCUUAACCUU
This 258-nucleotide ribosomal RNA is filed under the name Salmonella enterica subsp. enterica serovar Infantis. RNAcentral's name for it is "partial 23S ribosomal RNA". It matches the Rfam family "Bacterial large subunit ribosomal RNA", at positions 2673 to 2925 of the family's 2925-position model. The record is from RNAcentral. Lineage: Bacteria; Pseudomonadati; Pseudomonadota; Gammaproteobacteria; Enterobacterales; Enterobacteriaceae. RNAcentral also lists the same sequence under 2 other names.